This is a long non-coding RNA of Rhineura floridana, 2232 nucleotides long. RefSeq lists it as uncharacterized. NCBI's taxonomy places the organism in Eukaryota, Metazoa, Chordata, Lepidosauria, Squamata, Rhineuridae. The record is from RefSeq and is a predicted model, not a curated record. The transcript has 5 exons.
CAGAGCUACAGUUUCCAUAAUUCCCUGAGAAGAAGGAUUGACUCUUAAACCACUCUGAGAAUUGUAUCUCUGUGAGAUCUUUUUACUUCAGAGAAUAAGCUGUCUAGGCUGCACUGCCAAAUUGCUAACUGUGGUAUUUGCAACCAGAUUGGUAUUGUAUGAAAAAGGUGAUGUAUGAAAAAGAAAUCUCUUGCAACGGAACCCUGAAAAGGACUGGCAGUGAAAGCAAUAAAAAGCAGUCACAGAAAAAAGUCAAGGUGAAGAGUGAAUUUCAGAGGCAAUGCGCAUGAAAUCCAUUUGUCAACUUACCAUAAGAAGAAAAUACCAAAGGACUUUGCAGGCAAGAGAGGAGCUGCUUUACUUGCCACUUUCACCUUCAGCAAGCACACAAGCUCUGCCUGUAUAUAAUCUUUAAGGCCAUCUUCAGAGGUCCAGUAUUUCCCCCAAGAAGCAAUGGACUGUGAUGCCAUUUGGUUAAUUCUUCACAUGGACACUGUGAGGAGUAUGUGGCUAAUUAGCACACCCACCUGCUUACCUACAAUUGUUUCCUUAAAUAUUGUUGCUAUAUUGUUGAAAAUAUUGUUCACAGUUGAUGAACUGUUGUGCCUGAUUGUGCUGAGACUUCAGGCCAAUCCACACAAUCCUUAUGCUUGUACUGAGCCUGCUUGCUUCCAGUCUUGGCUUCCUCUUCCCUGUCUGUUCACUUUUUCUUUUGUGCUGUAUCGCUUAGCCUGUAAGCUUUCAAAUAGGGUGUAAAUGCUCUAAAUAGUAAUAGUGAUGAUGAGGAUGUGCUUAUGGUGAACUGCUCUUGGGAAAUCACUUUAGGUUUUCAGUGCGGCAUACACAGUUGUGUCCUGUGCUUGUGACGAACAGCUUCACUCUCAUAAGUACAUUUUGACUGAAAACAAGGUCUACCAUCAUGUGUAAUCAGAACAUAUCAGUCAAUUGACUCUCCCACCUUUUUAAAAAAUAUCUGUCUGAUGCAUGCUGAUUUAGAUGCCCUGAUGUCAUUAAAUGUUUACACAGCAUUGUGACAGUAAGGACCAUUGACAGCUGUCAGCAUCAUUUUGAGUGGAUUUGCAGCUUCAAGAUAGGAGAAAGUAGGAUAAAUGGUCAAUAGGUAUAGGGUUUCCUGGCAUGACCCAAUGCAAAGAGUGCUUCUGGCAUCACAAGGACACUGGUGCAGUUAGCACACUCUGUGGAUAAGUAGCAUUGCUUGCUUGUGGGUCAGCAUGCAUUUGGCCAGGAAGCCACAGCUGAAAGUUAACAGGUCAGUAUUAGAAAAGAUUAAUCCUCAUGGCAUAGAUAAAACAGGAGAAUGACUGAUCAAUCCCCCCCCCAUUAUCAAGUGUUCCCCUAUUCGGAGUUGCUUGAAACAGAUGCCUUGCUUACCACAUGGCACUGGACUCCUCACGGUAUCUUGUGAACAAGCCCUCAGAAAAUUGGAAAUGGACUUCAGUUUCCUGCAAAAGAGGCAUUGCCCUGGGUAGGUUGAAUAGUUUCUCCUGUCACGAAACAGGCAGCCAUUCAAUCCCCCUUAAAGUAUAUCGAGCAUAUAAACACCCUGUGCAUGUUCAAUAUUUAUGUGGAGAACAGAUUCCUUUACAUAAAAUCCCGGCAAAUCCUGCGGCGAGGCAGAUUUAUAAUCUGACACUCGCCAGAUCAUCAGAACAGGAUCUGCCAAAAAAAGAAAAGAAAAAGGAACAGAAAAAGAGGCUCUCUGUCAUCAUUAGCCUGGCAGUCUUUCUAUGCAGACUCGGACCUCAGUUAGAAACACAUCUUCAGUGAAAACUCUUAACGCUCCCCCGACCCGUUGGCAAGAAGAAUUAUAACUGGGGAAGGAGCCAAAGACCUCUAGAGAGCGUCUAGUCCUGGCCAAUACGCGUGCGCGUGUCCAUCUGUAUCUAUGCCCUCAAGAGGAUUCUAAAACAGCUAAGCGUCUUGUGCGACAGCUCAAUAAAAGCUCUCUGAUCUCUCGCUGCUUGUUUCAUCUCCCAGGAGUUUUACAGUCACUCUAGUAAGCCUCGGUUUAGGCAAACCUACACGCUCGCUCGCUCACUCGCGCUCCCUCUUUACGGGAGCUCAGUGAGUUCUCCUUAGAGGUCUAUGGGUAGUUCCCAACCCACAGACCACUAGCAAGCAGGAGCGCGCGGGACCGCCAGCUACCAAGGCAAGCCUUACGCUUUUCCCCUAACGCUGUCCGGGCUCUCGACCUUCUCCGGAGUAGCUGAG